This 460-nucleotide ribosomal RNA is filed under the name uncultured bacterium. Its description in RNAcentral is "partial 16S ribosomal RNA". It matches the Rfam family "Bacterial small subunit ribosomal RNA", at positions 338 to 795 of the family's 1533-position model. The record is from RNAcentral.
CCUACGGGAGGCAGCAGUGAGGAAUAUUGGUCAAUGGCCGAGAGGCUGAACCAGCCAAGUCGCGUGAGGGAAGACUGCCCUAUGGGUUGUAAACCUCUUUUGUCAGGGAGCAAUUGGCGCUACGUGUAGCGUUAUCGAGAGUACCUGAAGAAAAAGCAUCGGCUAACUCCGUGCAAGCAGCCGCGGUAAUACGGAGGAUGCGAGCGUUAUCCGGUUUUAUGGGGUUAAAAGGAUGCGUAGGCGGAAUGCCAAGUCAGCGGUAAAAUCGCGGGGCUCAACCUCGCUCCGCCGUUGAAACUGGCGUUCUUGAGUGGGCGAGAAGUAUGCGGAAUGCGUGGUGUAGCGGUGAAAUGCAUAGAUAUCACGCAGAACUCCGAUUGCGAAGGCAGCAUACCGGCGCCCAACUGACGCUGAAGCACGAAAGCGUGGGUAUCGAACAGGAUUAGAUACCCUGGUAGUC